GAUGAACGCUAGCGGCAGGCUUAAUACAUGCAAGUUGAGGGGCAGCAUGAUAUACGCGAGUAUAUUGAUGGCGACCGGCGGACGGGUGAGUAAUAGGUAGGAGACCUACCUCAUACAGGGGGAUAGCAUAGAGAAAUCUGUGGUAAUACCCCAUGAGGUUAUAUGAAUAGAGGCAUAUAAUCAAAGCAUAAGCGAUUAUGCGGUAUGAGAGGGGCCUACUGACCAUUAGCUAGUUGGUGAGGUAAGGGCUCACCAAGGCGAAGAUGGUUAGGGGUUUUGAGAGAGAGACCCCCCACAUUGGAACUGAGAGACGGUCCAGACUCCUACGGGAGGCAGCAGUAGGGAAUAUUGGGCAAUGGGCGAAAGCCUGACCCAGCCAUGCCGCGUGAAGGAAGACGGCCUUAUGGGUUGUAAACUUCUUUACUACGCGAAUAGAGGUUAGUACGAGAUACUAAUAGGAAGGUAGUAGUAGUAAAAAGCAACCGGCUAACUCCGUGCC
Molecule: ribosomal RNA, 499 nt
Filed under: uncultured bacterium
Lineage: Bacteria
Description: bacterial SSU rRNA
Rfam family: Bacterial small subunit ribosomal RNA
Source: RNAcentral